CCAAAUUUCCAGGUGUUCCCAUUCAUGAAUCAGGACAGAAUAGAGAAAACUCACCAUGGAGUUUGUGCUUGGCUGGGUUAUCCUUGUUACUCUUUUAAGAGGUGUCCAGUGUGAGGUGCAGCUGGUGGAGCCCGGUGGAGACCUGGUGGAGCCUGGGGGGAUCCCUGAGACUCUCUGUGCAGCCUCCAGAUUCACCUUAAGUAGCUACGUCAUGAACUGGGUCUGCCAGACUCCAGGGAAUGGGCUGCCGUGGGUCGCAGAUAUUAGCAAUCAUGGAAGUAGCACAAGCUACACAGACUUUGUGAAGGGCCGAUUCACCAUCCCCAGAGACAACGGCAAGAAUACGCUGUAUCUGCAGAUGAACAGCCUGAGAGCUGAGGACACAGCCGUGUAUUAUGUGUGAGAGACACAUGUGGCUAUUGU
This is a non-coding RNA of Lutra lutra (Eurasian river otter), 423 nucleotides long. NCBI's taxonomy places the organism in Eukaryota, Metazoa, Chordata, Mammalia, Carnivora, Mustelidae. The record is from the annotation of a RefSeq genome assembly.